CCUACGGGGGGCUGCAGUGGGGAAUAUUGGACAAUGGGGGGAACCCUGAUCCAGCCAUGCCGCGUGUGUGAAGAAGGCCCUCGGGUUGUAAAGCACUUUCAGUGAGGAAGAACGCCUGGUGGUUAAUACCCAUCAGGAAAGACAUCACUCACAGAAGAAGCACCGGCUAACUCCGUGCCAGCAGCCGCGGUAAUACGGAGGGUGCGAGCGUUAAUCGGAAUUACUGGGCGUAAAGCGCGCGUAGGUGGCUUGAUAAGCCGGUUGUGAAAGCCCCGGGCUCAACCUGGGAACGGCAUCCGGGACUUAGAGGAGAGCGGGAAGGAGAGGACGAGGGAUCUCACGGGGGAGCGGGGAAAUGCGUAUACAUCGGGAGGAAGAGCAGCGGCGAAGGCGGCAUUCAGGACUGAAAGUCACACUGAGGUUCGAAUGAGUGAGUACAACACCGGCCUAGCGACACUUGUACGC
This 465-nucleotide ribosomal RNA is filed under the name Vreelandella stevensii. Its description in RNAcentral is "partial 16S ribosomal RNA". It matches the Rfam family "Bacterial small subunit ribosomal RNA", at positions 338 to 795 of the family's 1533-position model. The record is from RNAcentral. Lineage: Bacteria; Pseudomonadati; Pseudomonadota; Gammaproteobacteria; Oceanospirillales; Halomonadaceae.